RNAcentral lists this small RNA (167 nucleotides) under uncultured Blautia sp. RNAcentral's name for it is "Clostridiales-1 RNA". It matches the Rfam family "Clostridiales-1 RNA". The record is from RNAcentral. Lineage: Bacteria; Bacillati; Bacillota; Clostridia; Lachnospirales; Lachnospiraceae.
GAUACCAGGGUCAAAAGGUCAAAAAGCUGUUCGUGCUUGCACGAUAAAGCUUUUGAACUUGGGACCCGCCAAAUAUGAGGAAGUAGCGAUUUACGCAGUAAAUCAGCGGAUUCCGAAUAUUUGAAGGAUUGCGGGAGCAGCACAGCUGCGGAGCAAUCCGUGAUAUC